UACGAAGGGGGCUAGCGUUGCUCGGAAUCACUGGGCGUAAAGGGUGCGUAGGCGGGUCUUUAAGUCAGGGGUGAAAUCCUGGAGCUCAACUCCAGAACUGCCUUUGAUACUGAGGAUCUUGAGUUCGGGAGAGGUGAGUGGAACUGCGAGUGUAGAGGUGAAAUUCGUAGAUAUUCGCAAGAACACCAGUGGCGAAGGCGGCUCACUGGCCCGGAACUGACGCUGAGGCGCGAAAGCGUGGGGAGCAAACAGG
This 253-nucleotide ribosomal RNA is filed under the name uncultured bacterium. Its description in RNAcentral is "partial 16S ribosomal RNA". It matches the Rfam family "Bacterial small subunit ribosomal RNA", at positions 524 to 776 of the family's 1533-position model. The record is from RNAcentral.